GAUAGAACGCAGCGAAAUGCGAUAAGUAAUGUGAAUUGCAGAAUUCAGUGAAUCAUCGAAUCUUUGAACGCACAUUGCGCCCCCUGGUAUUCCGGGGGGCAUGCCUGUCCGAGCGUCAUUACAACCCUCAAGCUCAGCUUGGUGUUGGGCCCCGCCGCCCCGGCGGGCCCUAAAGUCAGUGGCGGUGCCGUCCGGCUCCGAGCGUAGUAAUUCUUCUCGCUCUGGAGGUCCGGUCGUGUGCUCGCCAGCAACCCCCAAUUUUUUUCAGGUUGACCUCGGAUCAGGUAGGGAUACCCGCUGAACUUAAGCAUAUCAAUAAGCGGAGGA
This 327-nucleotide unclassified non-coding RNA is filed under the name soil metagenome. RNAcentral's name for it is "partial contains 5.8S ribosomal RNA, internal transcribed spacer 2, and large subunit ribosomal RNA". The stretch from base 4 to 118 matches the Rfam family "5.8S ribosomal RNA", at positions 40 to 154 of the family's 154-position model. The record is from RNAcentral.